RNAcentral lists this transfer RNA (71 nucleotides) under Albula glossodonta (roundjaw bonefish). RNAcentral describes it as "tRNA-OTHER". The record is from RNAcentral. Lineage: Eukaryota; Metazoa; Chordata; Actinopteri; Albuliformes; Albulidae.
GCCUGUAGCCUAGUGGCUAAGGUACAUGACUGGGACCCUUGAGGUUGGUGGUUCAAGCUCCAGUCCAGCCA